This 407-nucleotide ribosomal RNA is filed under the name uncultured bacterium. RNAcentral describes it as "partial 16S ribosomal RNA". It matches the Rfam family "Bacterial small subunit ribosomal RNA", at positions 28 to 526 of the family's 1533-position model. The record is from RNAcentral.
GACGCACGCUGGCGGCGUGCCUAAUACAUGCAAGUAGGCCGCAGUUGCGCACGGGUGAGUAACGCGUAGGUAACUGCCUAUUAGAGGGGGAUAACUAUUGGAAACGAUAGCUAAUACCGCCUACUAGUAGAUGGACCUGCGUUGUAUUAGCUAGUAGGUAGGGUAAUGGCCUCCCUAGGCGACGAUACAUAGCCGACCUGAGAUGGUUAUCGGCCACACUGGGACUGAGACUCGGCCCAGACGCCUACGGGAGGCAGCAGUAGGGAAUCGUCGGCAAUGGGGUGCAGCCCGACCGAGCAACGCCGCGUGAGUGAAGAAGGUUUUCGGAGCUGAAAGCUCUGUUGUUAAGGAAGCGGUACUUAACCAGAAAGGGACGGCUAACUACGUGCCAGCCGCCGCGGUAAUUC